This 73-nucleotide transfer RNA is filed under the name Bos taurus (domestic cattle). It matches the Rfam family "tRNA". From Rfam's summary of the family: Transfer RNA (tRNA) molecules are approximately 80 nucleotides in length. Their secondary structure includes four short double-helical elements and three loops (D, anti-codon, and T loops). Further hydrogen bonds mediate the characteristic L-shaped molecular structure. tRNAs have two regions of fundamental functional importance: the anti-codon, which is responsible for specific mRNA codon recognition, and the 3' end, to which the tRNAs corresponding amino acid is attached (by aminoacyl-tRNA synthetases). tRNAs cope with the degeneracy of the genetic code in two manners: having more than one tRNA (with a specific anti-codon) for a particular amino acid; and 'wobble' base-pairing, i.e. permitting non-standard base-pairing at the 3rd anti-codon position. The record is from Rfam by way of RNAcentral. RNAcentral also lists the same sequence under 4 other names. Lineage: Eukaryota; Metazoa; Chordata; Mammalia; Artiodactyla; Bovidae.
UCCCUGGUAGUCCAGUGGUUAGGACUCAGAACUUUCAUUGACGAUGACCUGGGUUUGAUCCCUGGCUAGGGAA